AACGAACGCUGGCGGCAGGCUUAACACAUGCAAGUCGAGCGCCCCGCAAGGGGAGCGGCAGACGGGUGAGUAACGCGUGGGAAUCUACCGUACCCUACGGAAUAGCUCCGGGAAACUGGAAUUAAUACCGUAUACGCCCUACGGGGGAAAGAUUUAUCGGGGUAUGAUGAGCCCGCGUUGGAUUAGCUAGUUGGCGGGGUAAAGGCCUACCAAGGCGACGAUCCAUAGCUGGUCUGAGAGGAUGAUCAGCCACAUUGGGACUGAGACACGGCCCAAACACCUACGGGAGGCAGCAGUGGGGAAUAUUGGACAAUGGGCGCAAGCCUAAUCCGGCCAUGCCGCGUGAGUGAUGAAGGUCUUAGGAUUGUAAAGCUCUUUCACCGAUGAAGAUAAUGACGGUAGUCGGAGAAGAAGCCCCGGCUAACUUCGUGCCAGCCGCCGCGGUAA
This 447-nucleotide ribosomal RNA is filed under the name uncultured bacterium. RNAcentral describes it as "partial 16S ribosomal RNA". It matches the Rfam family "Bacterial small subunit ribosomal RNA", at positions 29 to 523 of the family's 1533-position model. The record is from RNAcentral.